AACGACUUUAAGAGUCAGUGGAAGAUGAUACGGCUCUGUCACUGAGGAAGACCUCAUGGUGUCAUGGCAGCUUAAAGUAGUGAUAGGUUGGUGGGAUGAAAGGAAGGUGAGCAUGAGGAAGCAGAACACACGGGGAACAAGAGCAUCAUGGCAUUCUGGGUCAGAAGCCGGUAACCAAGGGAAAUCAAGACGGCAAAGGCGUGGUCAUCAGAAAGCAGAAAAGCUAGAGCAUCCAGACAGUCAAUAGUAUGAGCUAAGUGUGACUUCAUGGGGCAGAUCAGACUUCAGCCAAACUGGGGAACAGAGGUACAGCCUUUGCGGUCCUGGUGUGGAAGCAGCUUGCUCCAGCCUCGGCUGCUUGUGUUUGCCUACUGUGUGAGAGCCGCCUCUGAGCAAACUGGCACUGCGUAUAGUGACAGUUGAAGAACUCUCUCUCAGAGGGAAGCAACAGAUAUACUGAGGGAGAUGGUACUCCUGCUGGGCCUGAAAGAUAAAUAGGGAAUUUGGACAGCAGAAAAGAAUAUAACUGCUGUGAGGUUUAAGCAAACAGGUAAAAGCAGUUCCAGUAAAGGUGUUUAUGUUGAGCUCUAUCUUUGUGUUAAGAAGGGCAUAAUCUGUACCACUAGGUCCAGCUAAUGAGGAAAUAGUGACUAAGUCUAAUAUAUAUUUUGGAGUUAUGGCUACUGGAAGGUAUGGAUUAUCUCCAUAGAAAAACUUACAUAGACUCUUACAUAUAACUGCAAGGGGUUUGCAUACUCUCUGAAGGCCACAUUGGGAGCCCACGUUUAGAAUUACUUGUUUAGACUGUACGGUCCAAUUGGGGAAGCACCAGUUCUAUCACGGUGACACUUCUGGCCAUACAAAGACAUGAGGGAGUGCCCCUCUUAAGAAGCACUGCCUAACAAUACUAGUUUGCUUUCCUGGGGCAGGAAUCAGGCCCCAUACCUCCCUGGUGCUAUUACACUCAGAUGGUGGUAGGGGAAUUCCAUGGAAUGAGAAAAUGUUAUUCAUGAGAAAUAAGUUGGACUAGAGUUUGGCGCAGAGUUCUUUACACCCCAUUUACUGACUUCUUUGUGAGACUUCUUCUUUCUGGGAGGAAGUUGAUGAGUUUAUGCCAGAUAGGUAGGGUAGGUAGCAACCAGGAUGUAGUUAUGUUUCUGAUAGUUCUUAGUCUUGUGUGUUUUGAUCUCUUGAUUAAAAUUCCCCAGAGUUACUCAGAAUCUCUAAAAAUAUUCUAUGACACAGCAACAUGCUGAUCAGUUUUGCUACUUUUUCAUGAAGUAGGAUUGUUACCAAAGAGAAAACUGCAAGGGAUGUGCUGCCCAAUCAGAGGAGGCUUCUUCAUCCUUCAACUCCAUGAUGAACUCUAAUAUGAAGUGGCAGAAGAAGACGUUGUUCAGGUAGCUCAGAUUGUCAAGAAUGAAAUGGAAAGUGCUGUAAAACUGUCUGUAAAAUUGAAAGUGAAAGUGAAAAUAGGUGCCAGCUGGGGAGAGCUGAAGGACUUUGAUAUGUAACUGUGCUGUUGAUGAAGUCCUCCCAGGGAAGCCUGUGCAGAUAUAGUCACCUGGAAAGAACAGAGAUGACCCUUUCACCUACCUCAGGAAAACGAACUUUCAAGUCUUCAUAGACUUAGCCUAGUAAUUUUAUAGUGAGAGUUUCAAACUAUGUAUCAGGGUCCGUUCUUUGUAGCAUCAAAAACUUUUGGGGGUUAGGGGAAGUGAAAUACCAAGUAUAAUAGUUACACUCACUUUCAAAGAGCAUCUAUGAAUUUGCCUUUUGUAAUUUACUGUGGCUUUAAACAUAUUCAGGACAGAUAUUUGAAAUAUGCACUUGGCACUUUGGCUCCACAUGUCUGGGUAAACCAUGAAGAAAAUGAAGCUGCUUCCUCUGCUGACCCUGACAGGAGCCAUAGGUGGAUAAAGAUUUGGUUUCACCCUGGUGGUGUCAGGCAUUGUGUGUGACUUCUUUUCCCUCUAAUAUCACUUUUAGAGUAUUGAAAUAGUAUUUCACAAUAGUAUUGGCUAAUAAAUUAUGAAUUCUAUAAAGCGGUAAGACUUGGUAUGGCUGGAGUCUAGGAAUGAAUAUGCAUGAAAUGUUUCUUAUUGCUUUUCCUUCCCUAAUUCAUACAAUGAAUGUAUUUGGAAUACUUAUAUAUCAUAAAAUAAACUAAACCUCUUCAAGAGGUAUCCUGUUCUGUAAGAUCAGAUGUUUUUAUUGCAGGUAAAUAUAAUACUGCCAGAGAUGGAAAAUACCCCCUUAUCAGUCCCUUAGUGCCUCUUUCUAUUUGUGGCAUGGUGAGAAAAACCCAUGCUGAAAAGAUUAUACUUUGUAAUCUCAAUCAGAGGUAUGGAGCUGAUCUUCUUGCUGUUGAAAUAAAAUGAAUUCAUGAGAAACUUUAUAUCAACAGUUGUUUUGUUAAAAACGGUAAGUGUCAGAAACUCGUGUUCCUUAUUUACUCACUCCAUAGCUUGUUCAGCAACAUCUGAGUACAUAGGAAGCACUGAUUAUAUUCUUAGUUACCAGAACAGCUCUUUCAUGUUUAUUAAUCAGAAUAAAGAAAAGAUAUUUGCUUUAUAAAGUGUAGUGCAUUAUUAGUAGUUGGGUAUUAAUGCAUAAGAGACUUAGACGUAGUUUUUUGGGGCAUUGAGGAGGGCAGAGAUGGCAGCAGUAAGAGGGAAGAUAUCAUUCUUUCUUGAGUUUUUUCCAUAUUUACCUACAAUGUUUCUUGAAAGCUGAAGUGCUGUCAGUAUUCUGGUAGGCUUGAAAGAUCUGGCACAAGAGAAAGCUCAAUCUGUUUACCUCUGAGUGUUCUUCAAACAUGAGGGCAAAUAAAAGUCACUCCUGCCUCCUUCUCUGCAGCUGUGGGCCAGUAUGUGUAGUCACAUGCAAGUUCUCAUUCUGUUUGACCUGUCAACUGGACCUGAAACAGGCCUUCUCCACUUUGCAUGAUUCAGAUAUGCACAAAUCCCGGUUACUAUGGUUUACUUAAUAACACGAGCCCCCCCGACAACACAAUUCGAAUUUCAGUUACCGGUGGAUAUUAACUACAAGUAAUUCCAUGAGAUUCAAACUUCACGAAUAGUUCUUCAAAUCACAACCACUGCGUAAAUAAGAAAUGCAUAUUGUGUUAGGCAGAAUAACGCACCCCACCCCAAAGUUCACAGCUUAAUUCCCAAAACCUAUGAACUGUUAUAUUACAUGGCAAAAGGGACCUUGUUGGUGUGAUUAAGUUAGAGAUCUUGAGGUGGGUGAUUAUCCUGGAUUAUCUGAAUGGUUCCAUUGUAAUCACCGGGAUCUUUAUAAGAGGGAAGCAGAUGGUCCGAGUCAGGGAAGAUGUGACAAAAACAGAGAACUAUUUGAAGAUGCUACACUGCUGGCUUUAAAGUUGGAAGAAGGGGCCAUGAGCCAAGGAAUGCAGGAACCCUCUAAAAUUGGAAAAGGUAAGGAAAUGGAUUCUCUCCUAGUACCUUCUGGAGGGAUGUAUCCCUGCCAACACCUUGACUCUAGCCCAGUUAAGACCAUUUUGGACUUCUGUCCUUUAGAACUGCAUGACAGUAAUUUGCAUUGUUUUGAGCUAGUAAGUUUGUGGAACUGGUUAUCGCAGUAAUAGGAAAUUCAUACAUGCAUCCUGAUGGGACCAGUUACAUCACUUCUUUCAAAGGCUGUCUAUGAUUGGUCACUUCACAUCUGUUAUUCACUUUACUUACAGAUGGCAAAGUGUAGUUGUGUUGAUUGCUUGCCUCCCAAUGGUAAAUCCGCAUUCUACAAAAAUGGAUAAUCAAAAGUGGAAAUUAGCUAAUAAAGAUGAAAGUGUACCAGAGGAAUAAAAAUGAUAAUACUGGAAGUGAAAAUCAAAUUGAACAUAAAUGGAAUUACAGAACAACUAGCUGCCUGGGCAUGCUGACACUGCUGCUGUUUGAGAUACUGUAGAUACGUGACCUGAGAAACAGUGAAGGCUCAGUUAACACAAAUGAGGAAAAUGGUUGUGACAAAAGAAUAAAGAUGUCCCAGAGAAAGUGAUGCCAACAAAAAACUUCAUUAUUUUUUAAUCUAGAACUUACUGUAAUUCCAUCAAAGUAUCAUCAGGAUUUUAUAUUUUUUUAGAUAGAUAAUAUCUUAAGACUCACCUGGUAGAAGAAUAGUUUUUAAAUUAUUUUUUAAUACACUGGUAGAAUAAAAGUCAACAUCUAUUUAAAUUGUUUGAACGAGCAUGCCCUUUAAUUCAGCAAUUCCACUAAACCUCUUACCUAGAGAAACACUUGCACAUAUGCAAAAUACAUGUGCAAAUGUUCACUGCAGUCUUGUUUGUAAAAUCAAGAGACUGGAAAAUAUCUAAUACUAGUAAAAGUGUGGUAACAAGUUAUGGUUAUUGACACCAUGGAAUAAUAUAAGUGAGUAAAAAAGAAUGAAUUAUAGGUACCAAUGUAGAACAAUCCGAGGUAUAAUGGAGACAUGAAUAAGCACUUUGCAGCAUAGAAAAAUAUUUAGAAGGAAACACAACAAACUGAUAACUCGUUAAUUUAGAUGAGUGGGAGGUAGCCAAGGGAAAUACUUAAUGUUGUCUAAAUUUAUCAUAUGACUAUUACACUAUCCAUUUAUAUAUCAUUUGUGCAAUUAAAACACAUUU
This is a long non-coding RNA of Sapajus apella (tufted capuchin), 4627 nucleotides long. RefSeq lists it as uncharacterized. The transcript has 2 exons. NCBI's taxonomy places the organism in Eukaryota, Metazoa, Chordata, Mammalia, Primates, Cebidae. The record is from RefSeq and is a predicted model, not a curated record.